GGUUGAUGCCAUGCUUCCAAGAAAAGCUUCUAAGCUUCAGGUAACCAGGAACCGUACCCCAAACCGACACAGGUGGUCGGGUAGAGAAUACCAAGGCGCUUGAGAGAACUCGGGUGAAGGAACUAGGCAAAAUGGCACCGUAACUUCGGGAGAAGGUGCGCCGGCUAGGGUGAAGGAUUUACUCCGUAAGCUCUGGCUGGUCGAAGAUACCAGGCCGCUGCGACUGUUUAUUAAAAACACAGCACUCUGCAAACACGAAAGUGGACGUAUAGGGUGUGACGCCUGCCCGGUGCCGGAAGGUUAAUUGAUGGGGUUAGCGCAAGCGAAGCUCUUGAUCGAAGCCCCGGUAAACGGCGGCCGUAACUAUAACGGUCCUAAGGUAGCGAAAUUCCUUGUCGGGUAAGUUCCGACCUGCACGAAUGGCGUAACGAUGGCGGCGCUGUCUCCACCCGAGACUCAGUGAAAUUGAAAUCGCUGUGAAGAUGCAGUGUAUCCGCGGCUAGACGGAAAGACCCCGUGAACCUUUACUGUAGCUUUGCACUGGACUUUGAGCCUGCUUGUGUAGGAUAGGUGGGAGGCUUUGAAGCGUGGACGCCAGUUCGCGUGGAGCCAUCCUUGAAAUACCACCCUGGCAUGCUUGAGGUUCUAACUCUGGUCCGUGAUCCGGAUCGAGGACAGUGUAUGGUGGGCAGUUUGACUGGGGCGGUCUCCUCCUAAAGAGUAACGGAGGAGUACGAAGGUGCGCUCAGACCGGUCGGAAAUCGGUCGCAGAGUAUAAAGGCAAAAGCGCGCUUGACUGCGAGACAGACACGUCGAGCAGGUACGAAAGUAGGUCUUAGUGAUCCGGUGGUUCUGUAUGGAAGGGCCAUCGCUCAACGGAUAAAAGGUACUCCGGGGAUAACAGGCUGAUACCGCCCAAGAGUUCAUAUCGACGGCGGUGUUUGGCACCUCGAUGUCGGCUCAUCACAUCCUGGGGCUGAAGCCGGUCCCAAGGGUAUGGCUGUUCGCCAUUUAAAGUGGUACGCGAGCUGGGUUUAGAACGUCGUGAGACAGUUCGGUCCCUAUCUGCCGUGGACGUUUGAGAUUUGAGAGGGGCUGCUCCUAGUACGAGAGGACCGGAGUGGACGAACCUCUGGUGUUCCGGUUGUCACGCCAGUGGCAUUGCCGGGUAGCUAUGUUCGGAAAAGAUAACCGCUGAAAGCAUCUAAGCGGGAAACUUGCCUCAAGAUGAGAUCUCACUGGGAACUUGAUUCCCCUGAAGGGCCGUCGAAGACUACGACGUUGAUAGGCUGGGUGUGUAAGCGUUGUGAGGCGUUGAGCUAACCAGUACUAAUUGCCCGUGAGGCUUGACCA
RNAcentral lists this ribosomal RNA (1353 nucleotides) under Pseudomonas aeruginosa. RNAcentral's name for it is "partial 23S ribosomal RNA". It matches the Rfam family "Bacterial large subunit ribosomal RNA", at positions 1592 to 2925 of the family's 2925-position model. The record is from RNAcentral. Lineage: Bacteria; Pseudomonadati; Pseudomonadota; Gammaproteobacteria; Pseudomonadales; Pseudomonadaceae.